CGAUUUUUGUUAACUUUUUUAACACUAGACCAUGGGAAAAAGUUAAAUCAUACACUUUUGAGGACUUUUACUACAAAAUCUCUAAUUUAAUACAGUAUGAAUGUUUGAUUUUCAGCAUGUAUGUAGUCAGAGAUGUCCUGAAGUCAAAUAUAUCAGUCAUUGUCAGGCAUUAUUUAUUACAUUUUUCCAGCAACCCAAAAAUCAAAGAAUAAAGA
Molecule: long non-coding RNA, 215 nt
Organism: Sebastes umbrosus (honeycomb rockfish)
Lineage: Eukaryota; Metazoa; Chordata; Actinopteri; Perciformes; Sebastidae
Exons: 4
Source: RefSeq, a predicted model, not a curated record